This 282-nucleotide long non-coding RNA is filed under the name Hordeum vulgare. RNAcentral describes it as "long non-coding RNA (HVUL_LNC000907)". Lineage: Eukaryota; Viridiplantae; Streptophyta; Magnoliopsida; Poales; Poaceae. The record is from RNAcentral.
CUCGUUAUUGUUGUUGUUGUCGUUGUUGUUGUCGUUGUCGUUGUCGUUGUUGUCGUUGUUGUUGUUGUCGUUGUCGUUGUUGUCGUUGUCGUUGUCGUCGUUGUUGUUGUUGUUGUUGUUGUCGUCGUUGUUGUUGUUGUUGUUGUUGCUGUUGUUGNUGUUGUUGUUGUUGUUGAUGAUGUUGUUAUUGUUGUUGCUGCUGUUGUUGUUGUUCUUGUUCUUGUUGUUGUUCUUGUUGAUGUUGUUGUUGUUGAUGUUGUUGUUGUUGUUGCUGUUGUUGUU